RNAcentral lists this long non-coding RNA (847 nucleotides) under Homo sapiens (human). RNAcentral's name for it is "HSALNT0323238". Lineage: Eukaryota; Metazoa; Chordata; Mammalia; Primates; Hominidae. The record is from RNAcentral.
CUGAAGAACCUGGAGUCCAUUGUUCGAGGACAGGAAUCAUCCAGCAUGGGAAAAAGAUGUAGGCCAGGGGGCUAGGCCAGUCUCUCUUUUCACAUUUUUCUGCCUGCUUAUAUUCUAGCCACACUGGCAGCUGAUUAGAUUGUGCCCACCCAGAUUAUGAGUGGGUCUGAGACAAAGAUCUGGACAAACAUCUGAACACAGUUUCCUAUACCUCCUACUGGAAGUGUCCUGUAUAUGCCAUUUUUCACUAAAAAGGAGCAGACAGCAGCAAUAUGUAACUUCAAUCUGAAAUACGAAAUGCAAGAUGAGUCUGAAGUACAAAAAGACAAAAAGACUGGGAAAACUCUGAGAUCUAAUAAAGACAAGCCUUUUGCACAGCUUUACCAAGAAACCAAGAGACAUAUGUCACCCAGCCAUGUCAUGUUAAUGUAGCAACCAAGAAAGAAGAAGAGGCAAAAAAGGGUACUGCAUGUGAUAUCAGGAUUAACAGUUUUUACCUCUGAAAAACAGGGCACUAGUUUUUCACCCUUCAAUAUCUGAGUUCCUAAAAUCCACUUCUAUUGCGAUCUGGGAAAGAAAUACAUAGCACAACUCUUCUGGCUCCAGAAUAAAAUUAUUUCUGCUGCCAUUUGCACCAGCAUGAUUCAUGGCCUAUAUCUACCUCUUGACAUAAACAACACUAAAAAUAAGACACUAAGCCCCCUGCUUCAGCUGCCAUGGGGGAAAACAUAUCCACUGCCAUACUUGUCAUCAGAAAUAGUAGUCUCUAAUUCAGGGGGUUUAAUUUUGCCUUCCCAAGUCUCCUGUGGAUAUGUCUGCUAAGUAAAAAACUAAGUCAACAUGUAAA